UUAAAAUGAGAGUUUGAUCCUGGCUCAGGACGAACGCUGGCGGCGUGCCUAAUACAUGCAAGUCGAGCGAGCGGAACUAACAGAUUUACUUCGGUAAUGACGUUAGGAAAGCGAGCGGCGGAUGGGUGAGUAACACGUGGGGAACCUGCCCCAUAGUCUGGGAUACCACUUGGAAACAGGUGCUAAUACCGGAUAAGAAAGCAGAUCGCAUGAUCAGCUUUUAAAAGGCGGCGUAAGCUGUCGCUAUGGGAUGGCCCCGCGGUGCAUUAGCUAGUUGGUAAGGUAAAGGCUUACCAAGGCGAUGAUGCAUAGCCGAGUUGAGAGACUGAUCGGCCACAUUGGGACUGAGACACGGCCCAAACUCCUACGGGAGGCAGCAGUAGGGAAUCUUCCACAAUGGACGCAAGUCUGAUGGAGCAACGCCGCGUGAGUGAAGAAGGUUUUCGGAUCGUAAAGCUCUGUU
Molecule: ribosomal RNA, 463 nt
Filed under: Lactobacillus crispatus
Lineage: Bacteria; Bacillati; Bacillota; Bacilli; Lactobacillales; Lactobacillaceae
Description: bacterial SSU rRNA
Rfam family: Bacterial small subunit ribosomal RNA
Source: RNAcentral